This 379-nucleotide long non-coding RNA is filed under the name Trifolium pratense (red clover). Its description in RNAcentral is "long non-coding RNA (TPRA_LNC003288)". Lineage: Eukaryota; Viridiplantae; Streptophyta; Magnoliopsida; Fabales; Fabaceae. The record is from RNAcentral.
GGAAAAUUUCUAAAUGUAAUCAAUUUUAAUCAACUUUAUUAUCAUAAUUUAGUUUAACCAGGGUCCUUGUUCAUAAGAUAUCACUAUUGGAAUCUUUACCUAGUUCUUUUUGUGCACAGGUCCCAGAUGAAGCAGUCUCAAAAUGUACCGCUUGUGGCACUGAUUUUGGGGCUUUUAACCGCAAGGUUGAUCUCCCUGUUUCUUUCCUCAUGCUAUGUUUUCUGUUUCUUGUGAUGUUUUUCUAAUGACAGCGUUUUGCUUCUUCCAGCACACUGUAGGAACUGUGGUGAUAUUUUCUGUGACAAAUGUACACAUGGUAGAAUUGCUCUAACUGCUGAAGAGAAUGCUCAGCCAGUACGAGUUUGCGACCGAUGCAUGG